Long non-coding RNA from Phacochoerus africanus (Common warthog), 4714 nucleotides. RefSeq lists it as uncharacterized. Lineage: Eukaryota; Metazoa; Chordata; Mammalia; Artiodactyla; Suidae. The transcript is spliced from 6 exons. The record is from RefSeq and is a predicted model, not a curated record.
AUGCUAGUCAGAUUCGUUAACUGGUAAGCCAUGACAGGAACUCCUGCUCCAGCUUUCAACACAGUACCCAAACACAAGGGAUCCCGUUCUAGCUGAGCCGCUGAACAGACAGGACAUCACUGUGACUUCUGACGACAAGGUCAGAAGUGAGCAGACCCCACGAGGGUCAGGGUGAGCCUGAGCCACAUUCGGGCCAGACAACCAGGAGCAGGGACCUUCCUCGUGCGUCCAGUGAACUUACGUGGGCAACAGGGCGUCCGGGUGGUGACAGAGUACCUGCAACCACGGAUGCCGUGGAGAGGCUGAGACUCUUGGUCCCUCGCUUCCUCAAUUCCCUUCUUCUAGGCAGCUAAGGGCAGAGGCUGACGUGUUUGAGCCCUGGGGCUUGAUCAUGACUAACUGCAGGGGCCCCGGCAUCACCCACCCCGACGUUACCACUAGCCUAGGUAGCUGCUACUCUGUUUUGGUGUUAAGGUUCCCCUUAGCCAAUUGUAAUUAGGCACAGGCGCCGCUACUGCCCACGUGGCACGCGCCCCGGAAGCGCUUUCCGAGAACCGGAAGCAAGGCAGCUCUCCUGGGCCAGCCCUCCCGUCCCGCCCAUUUGGGUGGUGUCCCAAUUGGUGAAGCCUAGCUUAGCUCGAGAGCUGGGUCCGCGCCCGAGCAACCUUCCGCACCUGCAGCUAGGCUGCGGGGCUUUUCCCCUCUGGGGUUUUGGCGGGUGGCUUCCCGGUGCUAAGGAGGAGCCCGAGCGGAUGUAGGGCCCUCGGAAGCCCGUCGCGCCGCUUGGACACGGGUAGAGGAAGGCAAAGGAGACCUGACAGUCGGCGCGUGAGGGCCGACUGAGAAAACUCCAGAGAGACGAGGGUCUCUGGCCACCGUGGGCCGGACGCCUCGCGUCCAGCGCGGCCGGCGUCCGCGUUGGAAAAGACAGGGGCCAAGGGCGUCGCGGCAGCACCUAGGUCCACGUGGCUGGUCUGCCGGGGGCUCGCGUCCUGUCCGCGCUGUGUUCCUGUCUGUGGGGCUCAGGCGCAAUUGGAGAAAGAAUGAUGUCUUUACUUUCAGGAAAAACAUCAAAGACCAGGGCGGCGCAAUGUGGAGCACAUAUGGCGGUCUCCGAAGGCCGGGCCUGCCAAAACACGUUUCUCAGGAUUUUCCUCCUUCCCUUUUUGUCCAGCCCCGCCCCACCCCCACCCACAUCCUUUUUUUCUUUUUUCCUCCCCAAAUGGAGGGAGCGGCGGGCUCGGGUUACCGGGGCGUCCUGUGUCCGCUGGAGGCUGCAAGGCGAUCUAUCCACAAGGCCUUUCUGGACCUGUCUCUCCGGGAAGGGACUGUGGGGAUGGCAGAUCCGUGACUCGCCCAGGACCCAGCGCAGAAGCUCCAGGUCGCUUUUGGCAGUUUACCUGCAAAAGCGGAUGAGCACAUGAGCCCAGAGAACUGAUUUCCCCAGGUCACACAGCUGAGUCCAGGAUGGCUUCUUGCUCAGUGCCAUCCUCCUACGUGAAAUUUAUUGCAAAGAUGGACUCCAGGUUUAGAGCAUACCUCUGGACUUCUGCUGUCUGCAGAUAGCAGUUUCUACAAAGUCAACUUGGAACAGAUGAGAGCUAGUUUUAGAAUACUACACCUUCUAUUCCUUGAAGGGAGAGGAAGUGAUGAAGAGGAUUAACACCCUGCUUCUAAUUCUGGCCAACUCAGAGGCCCUGCAUGGAAAAUCAGAAGUGACUGGAAUCCUGGAAGAGGGCCACCUGGCCAUCAGAAAAUUCCAGAGGGAUGUGGUCACUGCCAGACACACACUUGUUUGAUCUGGUCCAAAUGGAGAGAAACUAACUAGUUUUGAAGCAUCCAAUUUUCAGAAGUUAUUGACUAAUAAAGGUGGUGGAAGACCAAAGAAGCAAAACAGGACUCUAAGAUGCAGAGACAGGGAGGAAGCAGCUUCCACUCCUGGGGAAGAGGUGGAAUCACCAGGCCUGAAAGCCAGUCCAGUGAGGGCCACACAGGCUGGUUCCCAGGCCUCAGGGCAGGGCUCUGCCUACUACUGCUUGGAGGAGAUGCUCCUGGAUCUGGGGCUCUGGCUCCCAUGGGGGCACCAGAUGGGGCCACCACUACCUCGGAUGGAUUCCAGUGAGGUCCAGGGAGCAUAGAGGGAGGCUGAAGACAGCAACUGACUGCUGCCCAGUGAACAGCCUUUGAGAGACUGAUGCUGAGAAGCAGCAAACAAAAAGAAGAAGGAAAACUUUUUUCCCUCAUGCCGUCCAGCCUCCCCCUUGGUUGCCCUGUAGGAAGCCGGCUAACCAAAGCAAAAGAUGGUUUCCAGACUGUUGGCCCCUGUGUCACAAAAGAGAGUAGAGAAGAGAGGGUCUGGGGCUGGGGGCCAGCAUCGUGAUCGAGCACAGCAUCAGAGGAACCUCUGGGUCUAAAGAGCAGGGGAACUUGCACCGGCAGGAUCAACAUUAAACUCUUUUGUUUCCAAGGCUGCUUUCCUGAUAGUUGAAUACAUUUGGGGAAACUAGUGCCACCAGCACAUUGAAGGACUGGAGAAAUCCUACACUAAAGGAUCCUGCUUGGCUUUAUUGAGAUAAUUAUUUCUUAAAUUUAUUUAUUGUGAAUUCCUUAUUUUUCAGAUGUAACAUUCCUCAGAGCAUGCAAUCUGUGUUAUCAAUGCUGUUCUAAAAAAGGUACCACUUAAGUCCAAACUGCUUUUUUAUCUGUUAGUUUCUAACAGGAAAAAAAAAAUCACAUCCAAGUGAACUAGGGAGAUAAAUAGACUUCUACCUGCAAAGUAUUGUCUAACUACUGCACUUUCAUAUCUAUAAAAGGGCUGCCCUUCACCAAACUGUGAAGAAUUCCUCAUUCAACCCAAGAAUCACCAACCACAAAACAAAGACCACCAGCUUCAACAAAAUUUGAGAGAAACAGGGAAGUGUUCCAUGAAACCAUGCAGACCGUCAUAAGGAGCUCUGGGUACCUGCUGCCCUUAAACAUACAAGGUAGCUUGAAAAUUAUCCCAUCAAGCAAGGAUGGCUGUAUUUUUAUUGAAGAGAUAAGGAACUUCACUCUCUACCUUUCCUUCACUUCUAGGCCUCCAAUUACUUCAGCCCCCUCCCUGCCUGCCUCAGGCUGGAAGAGGUAUCUGAUUGUAACACUAGACAUAGGCUGAGACACAAACACAGGGCACAGGGCAGUAAAACUCUCCACGUAGCAGAUGCAGGUAUAGGGGUGGAAAGCUUGUCUGCAAAGACAGGUGCUGAGAGAAAAGGCACAAGCAGGAUGCAGAGUGGGAUGGCAGGUGGGGGAGGGGGAUGGGGGGCAAGAGGAGGGAGGGAAGAAGGAUGGAAGGAACUAAAAACAACUGCUUGAUAAUUUUCCGGGCCCCUCGAAAACUGGCUCUAAGUUAUUCCUAUUCAGCUAGAAUGUGUCCAUCUCAUAGAAGUAUCUCCAUCAAGUUAUGCUAAUUUAGCUUUUACGUUUGAGUUGGAUUUUGUUCAUGGAGACAGCUCUGUCCUCUCUGAAAAUUUCUGAAGCAAAAGCAGUUUGGAUUGAUUUUACAUAUUUGCUUACUCCAUUCUAUAUCUUAAAAUUCCCAACACUUACAUGUGGAUGAAAGCAGCGACCACAUGACUUCAGCAUACCUCCUUUCAUCAUGAUGUGCUACCUACAAACCUGACAUGACAGUAAAUUCACAUUAAAACACUGAGGCCCUGUUCUAGUUCUGAGGACCAUUUCUGUCCUCACUUGAAAGCUGAUCCAAGUCUCUGGUAGUUUUUUAUCUCCAACACCCACUCAACAAAGGACAAAAGUUUCUGGAGCAGAGGCAGGAGACUCCAAACCCAGUUAAAUACACCCAAGUUCCAGGGAUUAAAAUCUCCUAUUAACACUCCAGCUGACUUAGUCUCUUUGUGAAAUUAGAUUUCUUUCACUGGAUCUGGCCUUACCGCACAGCCAAGGCAACAUGUCUAAAUAUUCCCCAAGCCAACUCCCAACCACAGCUUCCUUUGAAGGUGAUUUAUGAACAGCUGCUUCCACCUGUAUUCUUUUGUCUAAGGGACACGUCCUCCUCCACCUCCUAAAUUUGCUGGCCUUGUCUUGCUUUUCUUCUGCUUGGCUCCACUUUUUCCACCCCUUUGGAAUUAAUUGAUCUGUUGUCUAAACUUGACUUCAGCUGGAAUGCAGAUUUAUAUUUCCCUUUGCUCAACAGCCCACAACUGAAGGCCAGCAGCUACCACGUUCCCAAGUUCAUUUCUAUCCAUUGGACCCCAGAAUGUGCAGGAAGGUUGGUGUGCAAAUCCCAUGGAGUGCCCUCUUCCCAUCAGCAGAACUCUGGCCCCAAGUUACUUCAUAAAUAAAACAACCUAUGGGAGAGAGUACCAGUUAAGCUCUCUGGAGGCUUGAAAAACUAAAAAUAAAUAUUUCAGCAAUGUUUGAUUUUUCUCUUUAACAAUUUUAAAUGUACUUAGAAUUUUUUUCUCAAAUUCUUAGGGUCUAAUUAUACAGGUUGUUAUUGCUGAUGAUUCUAGAUUGCUUUUUUUUCAUGUAUUUUAUAAUUGAGAAUUGUGAGUUCAUUUGAGUGGACUUUAUCUACAGGAAUCGUGUGCAGGGCUGAAAAUCUGCCUUUCAAGAGAAGACUUUUAUUUACUUUUAUUGAGGGUUCCAGUAUUGUUAUCAGCCUGAGACUGCAUUUUAUUUUUUUUCUCUCUCUCCCGCUUUUUUAGGGCAUAUG